GUCCCCGAAGAAGCAGCUCAGGGUAGGGGUGUCGCGCCGCCCCUAACCCCGGGCCGCCGGGCAGAAACCCAGCCGGACCCGCCGCCGCCCGGGUGAGAAUUUCUAGGCUUCCCCCCACACAAAGUUCACACCGGAAAUAAAUGUGCAACAGAUCUGAGGCUGCCUGGCUCUUGGAUCUUCUCCCAGUCACUGUCAGGAGCCCUCCAAAGCUCAGAGCCCCACACUGCUACUUGCCGUAAGGAGUCCCUGUUGAUGGAACAAACCACUUUUCCAAGAAAGCAAGCGGGGAGGCAUCAGAAGACAGCUACUGAAUGAUCCAAGCUGUGCUCUGGGCAGGCAAGUGAGUAAAGAAGGCCAGACUCUGAAGUGCCUUCUAAGGAAGCAGUCGCUCCUCCAGCCAGCAAACAGGCUUAUAGUUCAGCUGCAAGGAGGCAGGGGAAGAAAAGUAAUUUUAUGGUCAGAAGGCAGAGAGGGGCCAAGUUCGAGUGUCACCCUGAGGCCCAAGGCUUGGUUCCCCAAUCUGUGGCAUUAUGGGAAGGUGUGGAACCUUCAGGAGAUGGAGCCUAGUGGGAGGAAGUGAAAUUAUUCGG
RNAcentral lists this long non-coding RNA (590 nucleotides) under Heterocephalus glaber (naked mole-rat). RNAcentral describes it as "lncRNA (ENSHGLG00000046981.1)". Lineage: Eukaryota; Metazoa; Chordata; Mammalia; Rodentia; Bathyergidae. The record is from RNAcentral.